UACAGAGGUCUCAAGCGUUGUUCGGAUUCAUUGGGCGUAAAGGGUGCGUAGGCGGCGCGGUAAGUCGGGUGUGAAAUCUCGGAGCUUAACUCCGAAACUGCAUUCGAUACUGCCGUGCUUGAGGACUGGAGAGGAGACUGGAAUUUACGGUGUAGCGGUGAAAUGCGUAGAUAUCGUAAGGAAGACCAGUGGCGAAGGCGGCUCACUGGACCGGUUCUGACGCUGAGGCGCGAAAGCGUGGGGAGCAAACGGG
RNAcentral lists this ribosomal RNA (253 nucleotides) under uncultured bacterium. Its description in RNAcentral is "partial 16S ribosomal RNA". It matches the Rfam family "Bacterial small subunit ribosomal RNA", at positions 524 to 776 of the family's 1533-position model. The record is from RNAcentral.